Small nuclear RNA from Toxorhynchites rutilus septentrionalis, 142 nucleotides. RefSeq annotates it as U4 spliceosomal RNA. Lineage: Eukaryota; Metazoa; Arthropoda; Insecta; Diptera; Culicidae. The record is from RefSeq and is a predicted model, not a curated record. The transcript has a single exon.
AGCUUUGCUCAGUGGCGAUAUCGUAACCAAUGAGGUACAUCCGAGGUGCGAUUAUUGCUAGUUGAAAACUAACAACUCGCAAGCAGAUCGGUCGAACCUAUAUUUGAUCCGAUACAGGUGUUUUUGACGUAGGAUUACGUCU